RNAcentral lists this ribosomal RNA (1441 nucleotides) under metagenome. RNAcentral describes it as "bacterial SSU rRNA". It matches the Rfam family "Bacterial small subunit ribosomal RNA". The record is from RNAcentral.
GUUUGAUCCCGGCUCAGAAUCAACGCUGGCGGCGCGCUUAACACAUGCAAGUCGCACGAGAAAGAGGGCAACCUUGAGUAAAGUGGCGUACGGGUGAGUAACACGUGGAUCAUCUACCUUUUAGUGGGGAAUACCCCCGGGAAACUGGGGACAAUACCGCAUAAGCUCGAGAGAGGAAAGCCGAAAGGCGCUAAAAGAGGAGUCCGCGGCUGAUUAGCUAGAUGGCGGGGUAACGGCCCACCAUGGCAAAGAUCGGUAGCCGGCCUGAGAGGGCACACGGCCACACUGGCACUGAAACACGGGCCAGACUCCUACGGGAGGCAGCAGUGGGGAAUCUUGCACAAUGGGGGAAACCCUGAUGCAGCGACGCCGCGUGAGCGAUGAAGCCCUUCGGGGUGUAAAGCUCUUUCGACGGGAACGAUAAUGACGGUACCCGGAGAAGAAGCUGCGGCUAACUACGUGCCAGCAGCCGCGGUAAUACGUAGGCAGCAAGCGUUGUUCGGAAUUACUGGGCGUAAAGAGUGUGUAGGCGGUGCUCUAAGUCUGUUGUGAAAUCUCCCGGCUUAACUGGGAGGGUGCGGCGGAAACUGGAGUGCUCGAGGGUGGGAGAGGUAAGCGGAAUUCCUGGUGUAGCGGUGAAAUGCGUAGAUAUCAGGAGGAACACCUGUGGUGUAGACAGCUUACUGGACCACUUCUGACGCUGAGACACGAAAGCGUGGGUAGCAAACAGGAUUAGAUACCCUGGUAGUCCACGCCCUAAACGAUGCAUACUUGGUGUGAGCGAUUCAUUUCGUUCGUGCCGGAGCUAACGCGUUAAGUAUGCCGCCUGGGGAGUACGGUCGCGAGGCUGAAACUCAAAGGAAUUGACGGGGGCCCGCACAAGCGGUGGAGCAUGUGGUUCAAUUCGACGCAACGCGAAGAACCUUACCUGGGCUCGAACGGCUUAAGAACAUCUUUGGAAACAUUGACUUCCCGCAAGGGACUUGAGUCGAGGUGCUGCAUGGCUGUCGUCAGCUCGUGUCGUGAGAUGUUGGGUUAAGUCCCGCAACGAGCGCAACCCUUGUCCUGUGUUGCCACUCCCGCAAGGGAAGCACUCUCAGGAGACCGCCAGCGAUAAGUUGGAGGAAGGUGGGGAUGAUGUCAAGUCAUCAUGGCCUUUAUGUCCAGGGCUACACACGUGCUACAAUGGGCGGUACAAAGCGCUGCAAACCCGCGAGGGGGAGCUAAUCGCAAAAAAACCGUCCUCAGUUCGGAUCGCAGGCUGCAACUCGCCUGCGUGAAGCUGGAAUCGCUAGUAAUGGCGCAUCAGAACGGCGCCGUGAAUACGUUCCCGGGCCUUAUACACACCGCCCGUCACAUCACGAAAGUGGAUUGUACUAGAAGUCCCAGUCUAACGGGCCCAAGGUAUGAUUCAUGAUUGGGGUGAAGUCGUAACAAGGUA